Pollicipes pollicipes is the source of this 423-nucleotide long non-coding RNA. RefSeq lists it as uncharacterized. The record is from RefSeq and is a predicted model, not a curated record. The transcript has 3 exons. NCBI's taxonomy places the organism in Eukaryota, Metazoa, Arthropoda, Thecostraca, Pollicipedomorpha, Pollicipedidae.
CUUCCGCGCGCCACUCAGCAGCACGUUCGACCUGUCCGACGCGCAGACCAUGCAGGCCCUGCACGAGUCGGCCCUCUGCCUGCGCACCGUCUACGAGCAGCGGGGCGAGGAGCUGGUCAGCUACCUGCAGAGCCGGUACAUGCCCACGCUGGACCUGGAGCCGGACGUGAUCCAGCGCUUCUGCCAGGCGCUCCGCUCCGACAGCAAGAUAUUCCGCAACUACACCAAGAUGUUUUUCCGCCAGGCGCGUUCGUGACCUGCGCUGGCGUCGGCGGCCGGGCCUAGUCAGUGUCUUUGAAUGCUCCAGCCGACGCGGGCGGGCACCGCAGGACCCUCAGCGCUGACGGCCGUGAUGGCUAGUUGGCCAGGUGGCAUCACUGAAACUCAAUCGACGCGUUGCGACGCUUAAAGCGUGGGAACAUA